Molecule: ribosomal RNA, 256 nt
Filed under: uncultured bacterium
Lineage: Bacteria
Description: partial 16S ribosomal RNA
Rfam family: Bacterial small subunit ribosomal RNA
Source: RNAcentral
UAAUACGAGGGGAGCUAGCGUUAUUCGGAAUUACUGGGCGUAAAGCGCACGUAGGCGGCUUUGUAAGUUAGAGGUGAAAGCCCAGAGCUCAACUCUGGAAUUGCCUUUAAGACUGCAUCGCUUGAAUCCAGGAGAGGUGAGUGGAAUUCCGAGUGUAGAGGUGAAAUUCGUAGAUAUUCGGAAGAACACCAGUGGCGAAGGCGGCUCACUGGACUGGUAUUGACGCUGAGGUGCGAAAGCGUGGGGAGCAAACAGG